RNAcentral lists this small nuclear RNA (131 nucleotides) under Camelus ferus (Wild Bactrian camel). RNAcentral's name for it is "U4 spliceosomal RNA". It matches the Rfam family "U4 spliceosomal RNA". Rfam says of the family: U4 small nuclear RNA (U4 snRNA) is a component of the major U2-dependent spliceosome. The structure of U4 snRNA from yeast and human has been reported. U4 snRNA presents a k-turn RNA motif in the 5p-SL related to recognition of Snu13 protein. Lineage: Eukaryota; Metazoa; Chordata; Mammalia; Artiodactyla; Camelidae. The record is from Rfam by way of RNAcentral.
UUUAUUGCACAGUGGCAAUUCUGUAGCCAGUGGGGUUUCUCCAAGGUGCAAUUACUGUUAAUUGAAAACUUUUCACCUGCCUCUGACACCCAGAUUAGUUUGUCAGUUUUUUUUUUGAAAUUUACAUAAAU